This 520-nucleotide unclassified non-coding RNA is filed under the name uncultured Glomus. RNAcentral's name for it is "SSU rRNA". It matches the Rfam family "Eukaryotic small subunit ribosomal RNA", at positions 569 to 1091 of the family's 1831-position model. Lineage: Eukaryota; Fungi; Glomeromycota; Glomeromycetes; Glomerales; Glomeraceae. The record is from RNAcentral.
AGCAGCCGCGGUAAUUCCAGCUCCAAUAGCGUAUAUUAAAGUUGUUGCAGUUAAAAAGCUCGUAGUUGAAUUUCGGGGUUAGUAGGUUGGUCAUGCCUCUGGUAUGUACUGGUCUCACUGAUUCCUCCUUCCUGAUGAACCUUAAUGCCAUUUAUUUGGUGUUUUGGGGAAUUUGGACUGUUACUUUGAAAAAUUAGAGUGUUUAAAGCAAGCUAACGCUUGAAUACGUUAGCAUGGAAUAAUGAAAUAGGACGUUCGAUCCUAUUUUGUUGGUUUCUAGGAUUGACGUAAUGAUUAAUAGGGAUAGUUGGGGGCAUUAGUAUUCAAUUGUCAGAGGUGAAAUUCUUGGAUUUAUUGAAGACUAACUACUGCGAAAGCAUUUGCCAAGGAUGUUUUCAUUAAUCAAGAACGAAAGUUAGGGGAUCGAAGACGAUCAGAUACCGUCGUAGUCUUAACCAUAAACUAUGCCGACUAGGGAUCGGAUGAUGUUAAUUUUUUAAUGACUCAUUCGGCGCCUUAC